ACCUGAAACCGUGUACGUACAAGCAGUGGGAGCACAGGUUUACCUGUGUGACUGCGUACCUUUUGUAUAAUGGGUCAGCGACUUAUAUUCUGUAGCAAGGUUAACCGUAUAGGGGAGCCGUAGGGAAACCGAGUCUUAACCGGGCGUUAAGUUGCAGGGUAUAGACCCGAAACCCGGUGAUCUAGCCAUGGGCAGGUUGAAGGUUGGGUAACACUAACUGGAGGACCGAACCGACUAAUGUUGAAAAAUUAGCGGAUGACCUGUGGCUGGGGGUGAAAGGCCAAUCAAACCGGGAGAUAGCUGGUUCUCCCCGAAAGCUAUUUAGGUAGCGCCUCGUGAACUCAUCUCCGGGGGUAGAGCACUGUUUCGGCUAGGGGGCCAUCCCGGCUUACCAACCCGAUGCAAACUGCGAAUACCGGAGAAUGUUAUCACGGGAGACACACGGCGGGUGCUAACGUCCGUCGUGAAGAGGGAAACAACCCAGACCGCCAGCUAAGGUCCCAAAGUCAUGGUUAAGUGGGAAACGAUGUGGGAAGGCCCAGACAGCCAGGAUGUUGGCUUAGAAGCAGCCAUCAUUUAAAGAAAGCGUAAUAGCUCACUGGUCGAGUCGGCCUGCGCGGAAGAUGUAACGGGGCUAAACCAU
RNAcentral lists this ribosomal RNA (643 nucleotides) under Salmonella enterica subsp. enterica serovar Oslo. RNAcentral's name for it is "partial 23S ribosomal RNA". It matches the Rfam family "Bacterial large subunit ribosomal RNA", at positions 548 to 1190 of the family's 2925-position model. The record is from RNAcentral. Lineage: Bacteria; Pseudomonadati; Pseudomonadota; Gammaproteobacteria; Enterobacterales; Enterobacteriaceae.